UACGAAGGGGGCUAGCGUUGUUCGGAAUUACUGGGCGUAAAGCGCACGUAGGCGGAUUGUUAAGUCGGGGGUGAAAUCCCGGGGCUCAACCCCGGAACUGCCUUCGAUACUGGCAAUCUUGAGUCCGAGAGAGGUGAGUGGAAUUCCGAGUGUAGAGGUGAAAUUCGUAGAUAUUCGGAGGAACACCAGUGGCGAAGGCGGCUCACUGGCUCGGUACUGACGCUGAGGUGCGAAAGCGUGGGGAGCAAAC
This 250-nucleotide ribosomal RNA is filed under the name uncultured bacterium. RNAcentral describes it as "partial 16S ribosomal RNA". It matches the Rfam family "Bacterial small subunit ribosomal RNA", at positions 524 to 773 of the family's 1533-position model. The record is from RNAcentral.